AUUGAACGCUGGCGGCAGGCCUAACACAUGCAAGUCGAGCGGAUGAAGGGAGCUUGCUCCUGGAUUCAGCGGCGGACGGGUGAGUAAUGCCUAGGAAUCUGCCUGGUAGUGGGGGAUAACGUCCGGAAACGGGCGCUAAUACCGCAUACGUCCUGAGGGUGAAAGUGGGGGAUCUUCGGACCUCACGCUAUCAGAUGAGCCUAGGUCGGAUUAGCUAGUUGGUGGGGUAAAGGCCCACCAAGGCGACGAUCCGUAACUGGUCUGAGAGGAUGAUCAGUCACACUGGAACUGAGACACGGUCCAGACUCCUACGGGAGGCAGCAGUGGGGAAUAUUGGACAAUGGGCGAAAGCCUGAUCCAGCCAUGCCGCGUGUGUGAAGAAGGUCUUCGGAUUGUAAAGCACUUUAAGUUGGGAGGAAGGGCAGUAAGUUAAUACCUUGCUGUUUUGACGUUACCAACAUAAUAAGCACCGGCUAACUUCGUG
This 484-nucleotide ribosomal RNA is filed under the name uncultured bacterium. RNAcentral describes it as "partial 16S ribosomal RNA". It matches the Rfam family "Bacterial small subunit ribosomal RNA", at positions 30 to 507 of the family's 1533-position model. The record is from RNAcentral.